GAAAUAAAAGCAUUUAUACCGUAGACAGUAGGUGCUCCUCAAGAGCUUAAUUUCCUACCGAGGUAAUAAACAUAGAUCGUAUGAUUACCAGGAUUUCGAAUGUCGAAAAGACUGGCUAUGUAAACCUCCUUGUCUACCGGCAAGGAGGUUUUUUGGUAGACAG
The sequence is a regulatory RNA element, 163 nucleotides long. It matches the Rfam family "Ribosomal protein L10 leader". Rfam says of the family: This family is a putative r-protein leader autoregulatory structure found in B. subtilis and other low-GC Gram-positive bacteria. It is located in the 5' untranslated regions of mRNAs encoding ribosomal proteins L10 and L12 (rplJ-rplL). The record is from Rfam.